RNAcentral lists this ribosomal RNA (700 nucleotides) under uncultured bacterium. Its description in RNAcentral is "bacterial SSU rRNA". It matches the Rfam family "Bacterial small subunit ribosomal RNA", at positions 102 to 777 of the family's 1533-position model. The record is from RNAcentral.
ACGGGUGAGUAACGCGUGGGUAACCCACCCUCGAAUCUGGGAUAACUCCGCGAAAGCGGUGCUAAUACCGGAUAAGACCACAUUCCGUUCGCGGAAAGAGGUAAAAGCUGACCUCUCCAUGGAAGUUAGCGUUUGAGGACGGGCCCGCGUCCUAUCAGCUUGUUGGUGGGGUAAUGGCCUACCAAGGCAGCGACGGGUAGCUGGUCUGAGAGGAUGAUCAGCCACACUGGAACUGGAACACGGUCCAGACUCCUACGGGAGGCAGCAGUGAGGAAUUUUGCGCAAUGGGGGAAACCCUGACGCAGCAACGCCGCGUGGGUGAAGAAGGCUUUCGGGUCGUAAAGCCCUGUCAGGUGGGAAGAAACUCUUCAGUACUAAUAAUGCUGAAGCCUGACGGUACCACCAGAGGAAGCACCGGCCAACUCCGUGCCAGCAGCCGCGGUAAUACGGAGGGUGCAAGCGUUGUUCGGAAUCAUUGGGCGUAAAGAGCGUGUAGGCGGCUAGGAAAGUCAGAUGUGAAAGCCCUGGGCUCAACCCAGGAAGUGCAUUUGAAACUCUCUAACUUGAGUACGGGAGAGGAGGGGGGGAAUUCCCGGUGUAGAGGUGAAAUUCGUAGAUAUCGGGAGGAAUACCGGUGGCGAAGGCGCCCCUCUGGACCGAUACUGACGCUGAGACGCGAAAGCGUGGGGAGCAAACAGGA